This 468-nucleotide ribosomal RNA is filed under the name uncultured bacterium. RNAcentral's name for it is "partial 16S ribosomal RNA". It matches the Rfam family "Bacterial small subunit ribosomal RNA", at positions 28 to 507 of the family's 1533-position model. The record is from RNAcentral.
GACGACCGCUGGCGGCGUGCUUAACACAUGCAAGUCCACCGGCAAGGCCCUGCUUUUGUGGGGUGCUCGAGUGGCGAACGGGUGAGUAACCCGUGAGUAACCUUCCCUUGACUUUGGGAUAACUUCAGGAAACUGGGGCUAAUACCGGAUAGGAGCUCCUGCUGCCUGGUGGGGGUUGGAAAGUUUCGGCGGUUGGGGAUGGACUCGCGGCUUAUCAGCUUGUUGGUGGGGUAGUGGCUUACCAAGGCUUUGACGGGUAGCCGGCCUGAGAGGGUGACCGGCCACAUGGGGACUGAGAGACGGACCAGACUCCUACGGGAGGCAGCAGGGGGGAAUAUUGCACAAUGGGCGGAAGCCUGAUGCAGCAACGCCGCGUGCGGGAUGACGGCCUUCGGGGUGUAAACCGCUUUCGCCUGAGACGAAGCGUGAGUGACGGUAAUGGGUAAAGAAGCACCGGCUAACUACGUG